UCUGAGAGGAUGGUCAGCCACACUGGGACUGAGACACUGCCCAGACUCCUACGGGAGGCUGCAGUCGAGAAUCAUUCGCAAUGCGCGCAAGCGUGACGAUGCGACGCCGCGUGGAGGAUGACGGCCUUCGGGUUGUAAACUCCUGUCAUGAGGGAACAAAGCUUGCGGGUUAAUACCCCGGGAGUGUGAUGGUACCUCAAGAGGAAGUCACGGCUAACUCUGUGCCAGCAGCCGCGGUAAUACAGAGGUGGCAAGCGCUGUCCGGAUUUACUGGGCGUAAAGGGUGCGUAGGCGGUACGGUAUGUCGGAUGUGAAAUCUCGCAGCUCAACUGUGAAACGUCAUUCGAAACUGCCGAACUAGAGUACUGGAGAGGAGAGCGGAAUUCUUGGAGUAGCGGUGAAAUGCGUAGAUAUCAAGAAGAACACCGGUGGCGAAGGCGGCUCUCUGGACAGUUACUGACGCUGAGGUACGAAAGCCAGGGGAGCGAAGAGGAUUAGAUACCCUCGUAGUCCUGGCAGUAAACGAUGUGCACUUGGUGUGGGGAGGAGUUAUCCCCUUUCCGUACCGGAGUUAACGCGUUAAGUGCACCGCCUGGGGAGUACGGCCGCAAGGCUAAAACUCAAAGGAAUUGACGGGGGCCCGCACAAGCGGUGGAGCAUGUGGCUUAAUUCGAUGCAACGCGAAGAACCUUACCUGGGUUUGACAUGCCCGUCGUAUUCUCCUGAAAGGGAGAAGUCAGUUCGGCUGGACGGUGCACAGGUGCUGCAUGGCUGUCGUCAGCUCGUGCCGUGAGGUGUUGGGUUAAGUCCCGCAACGAGCGCAACCCUUGUGUUUAGUUGCCACUCCCGAUUCUGUCGGGAAGCACUCUAGACAGACUGCCCGUGACAAGCGGGAGGAAGGAGGGGAUGACGUCAAGUCAGUAUGGUCCUUAUACCCAGGGCUGCACACGUGCUACAAUGGCCGGUACAGAGGGCGGCGACGCCGCGAGGCGAAGCAAAUCCCCAAAACCGGUCUUAGUUCGGAUCGCAGUCUGCAAUUCGACUGCGUGAAGUUGGAUCGCUAGUAAAUGCGUAUCAGCAAUGGCGCAUUGAUUCGUUCCCGGGCUUGUACACACCGCCCUCACAUCAUGAA
RNAcentral lists this ribosomal RNA (1132 nucleotides) under uncultured organism. RNAcentral describes it as "bacterial SSU rRNA". It matches the Rfam family "Bacterial small subunit ribosomal RNA", at positions 291 to 1408 of the family's 1533-position model. The record is from RNAcentral.